RNAcentral lists this long non-coding RNA (1088 nucleotides) under Salmo salar (Atlantic salmon). RNAcentral describes it as "lncRNA (ENSSSAG00000119741.1)". The record is from RNAcentral. Lineage: Eukaryota; Metazoa; Chordata; Actinopteri; Salmoniformes; Salmonidae.
UUCUACUACAGUAGCCAGCUAGCUCUGCAGACCCUGUUCUACUUCUACUUCAGAAGUGAAAUACAAUGUAUCAAGUGUAUGAGUCUGUCCUCAUUGCACGUCUGUUAUUUGAUAUCGCACCUCAAAUGAUGAGCUGGUGGACUGAGACCAGAUGGGGGGUGAAAUAGGUGGUAACAUGACAGUGUGUUAUCAGAGGACUGAGACCAGAUGGGGGUGUAAUAGGUGGUGACAUGACAGUGUGUUAUCAGAGGACUGAGACCAGAUGGGGGGUGUAAUAGGUGGUGACAUGACAGUGUGUUAUCAGAGGACUGAGACCAGAUGGGGGGUGAAAUAGGUGGUGACAUGACAGUGUGUUAUCAGAGGACUGAGACCAGAUGGGGGGCUGUAAUAGGUGGUGACAUGACAGUGUGUUAUCAGAGGACUGAGACCAGAUGGGGGGGGUGUAAUAGGUGGUGACAUGACAGUGUGUUAUCAGAGGACUGAGACCAGAUGGGGGGUGUAAUAGGUGGUGACAUGACAGUGUGUUAUCAGAGGACUGAGACCAGAUGGGGGGGUGUAAUAGGUGGUGACAUGACAGUGUGUUAUCAGAGGACUGAGACCAGAUGGGGGGUGUAAUAGGUGGUGACAUGAGGGUGGGUAUAAUUUGUGGAACGUUCCAACAGGAAUCUGUUACAAAAACUCUGUAAAUAUCAAGGUUGCCAACAAACAACAUCAAACAAAGUCGUAUAACGGUAGAAUGAGAUACCGGGUAGAGAGUGAACAAUGUAAUAACGUUUUUCAACCACCACGUUUAUUCUGAAAAAUGUCUCUCUUCGUUCUGGUAGCCUCCACCAUUCCUCGUUCGUUGGUUUAGUUAUUAUUUCCGGUGUUCCUGCAUUCGCCAGGUGAACUCUGUUGCGCCUCAAUUAGGGAAUCGCUAUGGUUGAAAUGUAACUAAUGACUGCCAGCCCCAGUAUUUUAUUAGCUAGGUGGCUUGGACACAAUUGUUACCGAUGAUACUGUAUACACCAGCCUACUCGUACUACAGAAACAUACAUUGUAUUUUGCCAAGUUCUGUCUGUGUUAAUCCUGUUUCCCAAAUAUAUCAG